UUCAUGUCAUGUUUCAACAUGUUUCGAAAGGAUAGUAAUUAUGAUUAAAAACCGACAUUGAUACAUAUGUUUUAUUUCAUUAUCAUAUUACCAUAAUGUGUAAAUACUUAUAUAAAUGUCUUAUAUGUGUUAAAUAUGUAUACAUAUAUGUUUUAGCUGAACUAAAACUAAUGAAUUCUUCCAGAAGAGUUUACAGUGAUAUUAGUUUCGAUUUCAACAAGUCCAUUUAUGGAUUUGUGUAAACAUUGGCUCGGUCAGACCGACUAACGAAUAUGUAACGGAGAGAAAACGGACAAAAUAUGCAGAUUUUGGUUAUCCGGUGAUGAAAUUUACCUGCUCUGCCGCUCAAGACGCUCGCAAUCGGUGUGUGAAGCGUAGAAAAAACAAAAUGACCGCACAAGGUGUAACGGAAAUAAACGUACGUUUAACGGAUAUGUACCGGAUAAUUAACGGUCGGCUUACGGAUAUUACCAUGCGAGUAACGUACUUCUACCGGAUAAAACGGCAGUGUAGCGCAUUAGUACCGGACAAAACGUUCUCAGAACGUGAGAGAAAUGGAAAAGUACCGAACAUCAACGUACAAAAAACGGUCAUUUUAUGUCAUGCUUUAUUUAUAUUUUAAAGUAUCUUAAUUUUGAUUUGCUUUGUUUUUAAUGCAUAUGCUUGUUUGUUUCUGUAUUAUGAAUGUUUAUGUACACUAACGCCAAAAAUAAAAUAAAUAAAUAAAUCUUG
Molecule: long non-coding RNA, 732 nt
Organism: Dreissena polymorpha
Lineage: Eukaryota; Metazoa; Mollusca; Bivalvia; Myida; Dreissenidae
Exons: 2
Source: RefSeq, a predicted model, not a curated record